UCUAACCUGCCCAAUGAGGAUUUAAAUGGCCGCAGUAUUUUGACUGUGCAAAGGUAGCAUAAUUAUUAGUUUUUUAAUUGAAAGCUUGUAUGAAGGGUUGGACGAGAUGAAAUCUGUCUUUAUUUAAAUUAAAAUAUAAUUUAACUUUUAAGUAAAAAGGCUUAAAUGUUUAUAAAAGACGAGAAGACCCUAUAGAUCUUUAUUUAAUUAAAAUUUUAAUAAUUUAGGAUUAUUUUAAUUUAAAGUUUUAACUAAAUUUUAUUGGGGUAAUAUAAAGAUUAAAUAAAUUCUUUUUAUUUAUAACAUUGAUUUAUGAAUAUAUGAUCCAUUAAUAUUGAUUAUAAGAUUAAGUUACCUUAGGGAUAACAGCGUAAUUUUUUUGGAGAGCUCAUAUCGAUAAAAAAGUUUGCGACCUCGAUGUUGGAUUAAAAAUUAGCUUGGGUGCAGAAGCUUAAGAUUUUGGUCUGUUCGACCAUUAAAUUUUUACAUGAUCUGAGUUCAGACCGGCGUGAGCCAGGUCGGUUUCUAUCUUUAUUAAGAUAAAAUGUUUUAGUACGAAAGGACCAAAUAUUUAAUAUAAUUAUAUUUAUUUUUUGAAGAAUAUU
RNAcentral lists this ribosomal RNA (605 nucleotides) under Cicindela (Rivacindela) sp. JP-32b. Its description in RNAcentral is "partial 16S ribosomal RNA". It matches the Rfam family "Bacterial large subunit ribosomal RNA", at positions 1853 to 2739 of the family's 2925-position model. Lineage: Eukaryota; Metazoa; Arthropoda; Insecta; Coleoptera; Carabidae. The record is from RNAcentral.